GUGGCUGUAGCUCAGCCUGGUUUAGAGCAUCUGACUGUGGCUCAGAGGGUCGCGGGUUCAAAUCCCGUCAGCCACCCCA
RNAcentral lists this transfer RNA (79 nucleotides) under Candidatus Omnitrophota bacterium. RNAcentral's name for it is "tRNA-His". It matches the Rfam family "tRNA". From Rfam's summary of the family: Transfer RNA (tRNA) molecules are approximately 80 nucleotides in length. Their secondary structure includes four short double-helical elements and three loops (D, anti-codon, and T loops). Lineage: Bacteria; Pseudomonadati; Candidatus Omnitrophota. The record is from RNAcentral.